CCUACGGGAGGCAGCAGUGGGGAAUAUUGCACAAUGGGCGAAACCCUGAUCCAGCGACGCCGCGUGAGUGAAGAAGGCUUUAGGUAUGUAAAGCUCUUUCAGCCGGGAAGAAAAUGACGGUACCUGUCCCAUAAUCCCUGGCUAACUACGAGCAAGCAGCCGCGGUAAUACGUCGGGGGCCAGCGUUAUCCGGAUUUACUGGGGGUAAAGGGAGCUUAGUCGGUUAUGUAAGUGUGGAGGGAAAGCCCAGGGCCCAAACACGGGACUGCCGUGGAAACUGUGUAACUGGAGUACAGGAGUGGCAGGCGGAAUGCGGGGUGUAGCGGUGAAAUGCGUAGAUAUCAGGAGGAACACCGGCGGCGAAGGCGGC
Molecule: ribosomal RNA, 370 nt
Filed under: uncultured bacterium
Lineage: Bacteria
Description: partial 16S ribosomal RNA
Rfam family: Bacterial small subunit ribosomal RNA
Source: RNAcentral